CUUUACUGUAACUUGAAAUUGAAACUGGACUUUAUUUGCGCAGUAUAGGUGGGAGGCGUUGAGAAUAUUCUUGCGGGAGUAUUGGAGCCAUCAGUGAGAUACCACUCUUGUAAUGUUAGGUUUCUAACUUUGUAUCAUUAUCUGGUCAAAGAACAGUUUCAGGCGGGCAGUUUGACUGGGGCGGUCGCCUCCUAAACGGUAACGGAGGCGCACAAAGGUUUCCUCUGAACGGGUAGAAAUCGUAUCUAGAGUGUAAAGGCAAAAGGAAGCUUGACUGUGAGACCUACAAGUCGAGCAGGGACGAAAGUCGGUCUUAGUGAUCUGACGGUGCUGAGUGGAAAGGCCGUCACUCAACGGAUAAAAGUUA
This 367-nucleotide ribosomal RNA is filed under the name uncultured organism. Its description in RNAcentral is "bacterial LSU rRNA". It matches the Rfam family "Bacterial large subunit ribosomal RNA", at positions 2099 to 2465 of the family's 2925-position model. The record is from RNAcentral.